AUUAAAUGUUUUUCUACGUGUUUUAAAAAGAUGUAUAUAAUCACUUGAUUUAU
RNAcentral lists this microRNA precursor (53 nucleotides) under Gyrodactylus salaris (gyrodactylosis fluke). RNAcentral's name for it is "microRNA gsa-mir-9392 precursor". The record is from miRBase by way of RNAcentral. Lineage: Eukaryota; Metazoa; Platyhelminthes; Monogenea; Gyrodactylidea; Gyrodactylidae.